Long non-coding RNA from Budorcas taxicolor (takin), 3303 nucleotides. RefSeq lists it as uncharacterized. The transcript has 4 exons. Lineage: Eukaryota; Metazoa; Chordata; Mammalia; Artiodactyla; Bovidae. The record is from RefSeq and is a predicted model, not a curated record.
GAUUUCCACAGUGACCUGUACGCUUGGUGAUCCAGGCUUCUAUGAAAGGAUUGUCCGAGAAACAACAAUCCCCCAGCUUGUUACAAGAUACCGAAUCCAGUUCUCUGCCCUAUACAGGAGAGCCAGCUUGUUUGCCCGGAGGAAAGAAUUCAUUGAACAGCCACAGACGACAUUCCAGAACAUCAGCCAACCACUUCCCAACAGGGUACCGUUGGGUCAUCACAAGGCCUGCCACCACCCCUGGCAGCGGGACUCCACAUACCUUCCCAUGGCAGAGCUCAGGUUGCAGGAGGUCAACAUGGGCAUUCAGGGCAAGAGCUUGUCUUAGUGAUCUUCGGUCUGGUUUCUUGAUAAAAGGCCAUUGGAAUUUUUAAGUCUCUGGAAAUCCAUGGGACUCUACUUUUUUUUUUUAAAGGUGUUUUCUAUGCUUUGCAAUGACUUCCUUGGGUGAACUUCGGUCUAAAUAUUAACAGGAUGGUGUGUGCAUUUUGGGCGUGCGUGGGGGGAGUAAUUUCAAAUAUACUUCAGGGCCCAGUAGAGAAUUGUCACUUUGCAUGUCUUCCUUCCUUGUUGGCAAACCAUGGCGCUCUUACUCCCUGUCUGGAAGCUGAGACUCUGCCGAGGCAGUGCGUUGAUCCCCAGGACAGUUAGUGCACCAAGUAGACGCUAAGCUUCCUCAUUUCCCCUCCCCUCAUCUGUUUCACAAACUGGACAACUCUGUUUCGAUCUGCCUUCCUAUAAGAGCUCAUUGGAGCACAAAUAGAUAAAUUAUUUAGAAGAGACCAUCAAAGCCGAGCCCAGGAAGAGGUUGGUGCCUCCUCGUGUGGUCACUGAGCCGAGAAGCUGGGUUGGGGCUCAGGUGAUAUGCAUGAGGUGCCGGUCCAGGUGGGUCCUCCUCGGGAUUCUCUUGACUGAGAGCAUCUUCCUGGAGCCCAGACACCGAGAUGCCUGUGUUUGAGGGUAGGGAGUCUCUUGGACAGCAAGAAGAUCAAACCGUCCAUCCUAAAGGAAAUCAGCCCUGAAUAUGCAUUGGAAGGACUGAUGCUGAAGGUGAAAUUCCAAUCCGUUGGCCACCUCAUGCGAAGAGCUGACUCAUUGGAAAAGACCCUGAUGCUGAGAAAGAUCGAAGGCAGGAGGAGAAGGGGACGACAGAGGAUGAGAUGGUUGGAUGGCAUCACCGAUUGGAUGGACAUGAGUUUGAGCAAGCUCUGGGAGUUGGUGAUGGACAGGGAAGCCUGGCAUGCUGCCAUUCAUGGGGUUGCCAAGAGUUGGACACGACUGAGUGACUGAACAAUGACCUCUAUGCAGGUGGUGAAGUUUAAAUGAGGUGACCAGAGAGAUUUUCUCAUGUGAUAGGGUUAGAGUCCUCAGGGUAAGAGAGCAGAGAACUUUGUUUCCCACCUCCCAUUCUGUCUGUCUGUCUCCCUCCCUCUGUCUCUCCUCUCUGUGAAUGAGGACACAAUGAGGAGGCAGCCAUCUGCAAGCCAGAAGAGACGGCUCACCGGCACUCGGCCGGGCCUCCAGCCUCCAAAACCCUGAGAGACAAAGUCCUAUUGUUUAUGCCACCUGGACUGUAGGACUCAGCUAAGCCAGAUGAGCUGACAGGGACAAAGCCCAUUUGCCCACCUGGACACGGAGGGCCUCUCCGUCUGAGGGGCCAGCCCUGCUCUCCCCACCUGCCCUCUGCUGGGCAGUGCUCUGGGCCUUCUACAGCUUUCCUGCCUUCCACCUGGAUUAGAAGCUCCAAGCUCAAGACUCCAGUAACAGGCCGUAUCAUGAUUUGCACCCCUUGGGUACUAGCCAAGUACAUUUCUCACACUAUAAAGUGUAAUAUUUGCUGAUUGAUUAACUAGUCUGAGAGAUGAUGAGCUAAAUUGGACCUGAUAUGUUGCAAUAGUUUGUUUUUACUUUGGUUUCAGAAUUGGCAAAGAAACAUGGGGAUAAUUAUGCACAACAUUUCUUUCUAUUUGGUGAUAUUAAUGUGCAGUUUAUUUUUCUCCUGGAAUGAUCUAGACAGAGAGGGUUACCUCAGCCCUGCCCUUUAGCCUGCAUGUGGACAUAGAACGUGGCCCAGGACACCAGAGUCUACUAAAAGCUGGCUUAAUUGUCUUUGAACAAAGGCCAUUUUAUCAAUCAUAUUACAAUCCAUUAAAUUAUCUGAUACUAGAUCAGAGUGCCUUCAUGCUAUUCUCUUUAUAAUUAUUCAGUCUCUGUUUUGUAGAAAAGGAGGAAAUUUCCUUGAACCAGAAAUGACUCCUUUCUACUUUGUGUUCCCUUUUUUGCUCUGGGUGAAAUAUACUAAACUCUUUACUCCGGACCACUCGAUUUAAGUGGUGCAGGAUUUUCAAUUAAUGAUGAUACCUUGGACUUGAUCAGAAAGUCAAGCCACAAGAACUGAAUCUCCAAGGGAUUAUUACUUUUUAAUUCUUUGUACAGCAAGACUGUGUGUCAAAAAAUAAUCCCAAAGGAUUUUUCAUUCACUCUUCUAACCUAAAACGACCCUCUGCUUAAUUUAACAUGCUAGAUGUACGUCAAGGAAUCAUGAGUUACCUUUUCUAUUUAUGCGUAAAAAUCAGUUUUAGUUCAGACGAUAUUUGGGGGACAUUUGCUUAAUCAACACUCAUGUUCAGGAAUGUAUUAUCUGUGAUGUUAUCAGUAUCUAUACUUUGCAAAUAUAUUUUAAAAAACUGCUCUGCCACCUUUACUUUAAAUUAUGACAUCUGAGUGAAAAGGCCACAUCACAAGUUGGUGGCUGUGUGACUUGCCUGAGCCCCACCUGACCAAUGCUGUCAGCUGCAUCUCCGCAAAGCACAGGUAGGAGAAGCAAAGACUUAAUCAACUCAGUGGUUUUGGCCACAGUCUCCUCCUCCACAACACAGGGCAAAACAAACCAUAGAGACAGUUGACGUUAUAAAAGUUUUGCUCAGACUGUUGGAUUGAUUAUUUAGAUAAUUGCUUUAAAAACUUCUGCCAUGUCAGCUUCAGGCAUCCUAGAACCAUGAGAAUAACCCUAGAGGGCAAGGAGGAGAGGUCAGAAAUGAGAGGAGGAAACUGAUCCUUGAAGAUAUUAACUGUGAAGCUUCAUUAGCUGUGAACUCUUCUCCUCGGGACUUAUUUUUAUGCGAGUUAAAUAUAGCCUCAAUCGUAAAUGCCUCUACUAAUUGCACUCUCUGUAACUUGCAACUGAAUGAUAUUCUAAAUGCAUCAAAACACAGAGUCAUUUCAGAAGUAAACACUCAAGGAAUCAAUGUAGGUUUUUGGAGGAAGCGUCAUAGAAAAUGUAUCUUUUGGUCAAGGUCUUGA